CUUGGGGGGCAACUCUCAAGUCAGUGGCGAACGGGUGCGUAACACGUGAGCAACUUGCCCUAUGGUGGGGGAUAGCCGGCCCAACGGCCGGGUAAUACCGCAUAUGGCGCCGAGGUCGCAUGGCCUUGGUGGGAAAGCGGCCGCAAGGUCGCGCCAAAGGUGGGGCUCGCGGCGUAUCAGCUAGUUGGCGGGGUAAUGGCCCACCAAGGCUACGACGCGUAGCUGGUCUGAGAGGAUGGCCAGCCACAUUGGGACUGAGAUACGGCCCAGACUCCUACGGGAGGCAGCAGUGGGGAAUAUUGCGCAAUGGCCGAAAGGCUGACGCAGCGACGCCGCGUGUGGGAUGAAGGCCUUCGGGUUGUAAACCACUGUCGGGGGGGGCGAAUACCUGGCUUCGAAUAGGAGACCAGGGGUGACGGUACCUCCAAAGGAAGCACCGGCUAACUCCGUGCCAGCAGCCGCGGUAAUACGGAGGGUGCGAGCGUUGUCCGGAAUCACUGGGCGUAAAGGGCGCGUAGGCGGCCGUGUAAGUCACUUGUGAAAUCCCGGGGCUCAACUCCGGGGCUGCAGGUGAGACUGCAUGGCUAGAGCUUGGUAGAGGCGAGUGGAAUUCCCGGUGUAGCGGUGGAAUGCGUAGAUAUCGGGAAGAACACCGGUGGCGAAGGCGGCUCGCUGGGCCAAUGCUGACGCUGAGGCGCGAAAGCGUGGGGAGCAAACAGGAUUAGAUACCCUGGUAGUCCACGCCGUAAACGAUGGGUACUAGGCGUCGGGGGGAGCGACCCCCUCGGUGCCGUCGCUAACGCAGUAAGUA
RNAcentral lists this ribosomal RNA (811 nucleotides) under uncultured Gemmatimonadota bacterium. RNAcentral describes it as "bacterial SSU rRNA". It matches the Rfam family "Bacterial small subunit ribosomal RNA", at positions 71 to 866 of the family's 1533-position model. Lineage: Bacteria; Pseudomonadati; Gemmatimonadota. The record is from RNAcentral.